This 497-nucleotide ribosomal RNA is filed under the name uncultured bacterium. Its description in RNAcentral is "bacterial SSU rRNA". It matches the Rfam family "Bacterial small subunit ribosomal RNA", at positions 773 to 1263 of the family's 1533-position model. The record is from RNAcentral.
AGCGAAUAGAUACCCCGGUAGUCCUGGCAGUAAACGGUGCACGUUUGGUGUGGGCGCAAUCGACCGCGUCCGCGCCGGAGCUAAACGCGUUAAACGUGCCGCCUGGGAAGUACGGUCGCAAGAUUAAAACUCAAAGAAAUUGACGGGGACCCGCACAAGCGGUGGAGUAUGUGGCUUAAUUCGAUGCAACGCGAAGAACCUUACCUGGUCUUGACAUGCAUUGUGUCUCCGGUGAAAGCCGGAUAGGGCAGCAAUGCCCGCUUUGCACAGGUGCUGCAUGGCUGUCGUCAGCUCGUGUCGUGAGAUGUUGGGUUUAAGUCCCGCAACGAGCGCAACCCCUGUGAUUUGUUGCCACCGGCUUAUGCCAAGCACUCGAAUCAGACUGCCUCGAUCAACGAGGAGGAAGGUGGGGAUGGCGUCAAGUCCGUAUGGCCCUUACGACCAGGGCUGCACACGUACUACAAUGCUCAGCACAAUGUGAACCGAUGCCGCGAGGU